CUUCCGUAGGGGUGACCUGCGGAGGGAUCAUUGCUGGAACGCGCCCCAGGCGCACCCAGAAACCCUUUGUGAACUUAUACCUUACUGUUGCCUCGGCGCUAGCUGGUCCUCCGGGGCCCCUCCUUCUGGAGGAGCAGGCACGCCGGCGGCCAACCCAACUCUUGUUUUUACACUGAAACUCUGAGAAUAAAACAUAAAUGAAUCAAAACUUUCAACAACGGAUCUCUUGGUUCUGGCAUCGAUGAAGAACGCAGCGAAAUGCGAUAAGUAAUGUGAAUUGCAGAAUUCAGUGAAUCAUCGAAUCUUUGAACGCACAUUGCGCCCUCUGGUAUUCCGGAGGGCAUGCCUGUUCGAGCGUCAUUUCAACCCUCAAGCCUGGCUUGGUGAUGGGGCACUGCUUCUUACCCGAGAAGCAGGCCCUGAAAUUCAGUGGCGAGCUCGCCAGGACCCCGAGCGCAGUAGUUAAACCCUCGCUCUGGAAGGCCCUGGCGGUGCCCUGCCGUUAAACCCCCAACUUCUGAAAAUUUGACCUCGGAUCAGGUAGGAAUACCCGCUGAACUUAAGCAUAUCAAAA
Molecule: ribosomal RNA, 574 nt
Filed under: Diaporthe sp.
Lineage: Eukaryota; Fungi; Ascomycota; Sordariomycetes; Diaporthales; Diaporthaceae
Description: eukaryotic LSU rRNA
Rfam family: 5.8S ribosomal RNA (bases 207-360)
Source: RNAcentral